CCUUUUGAAGGGAACGAUUGAAGUCAGUCAUGCCGGCGGGAAUCAACUUGGGGGAAACUUUAAGUGCACUUCACGUUUGGCAGGUCAGCAUCGAUUUUGGAUGUCAUAAAAUGAUUGGGGGAAGGUAGCUCCUUCGGGAGUGUUAUAGCCCUUGGUAGAUGUGAUGUCUGGGACCGAGGAUUGCAACGGAUACCCUUUGGGCUAGCCGCCUGAUCUCUAACUGGUGUUGGGUUACGGACAGCAUGCUGACCGUGAUUUAAUUAUUGGUUAAAAGGUUAGAGCGAGUGUAAAUUCGUUAAGGAUGUUGACGUA
RNAcentral lists this ribosomal RNA (312 nucleotides) under Scutellospora sp. rp24. Its description in RNAcentral is "eukaryotic LSU rRNA". The record is from RNAcentral. Lineage: Eukaryota; Fungi; Glomeromycota; Glomeromycetes; Diversisporales; Gigasporaceae.